UGGGGAAUAUUGCACAAUGGAGGGAACUCUGAUGCAGCGACGCCGCGUGAGUGAUGAAGGAAUUCGUUUCGUAAAACUCUGUUCUAUGGGAAGAAAAGGACUGUACCAUAGGAGAAAGCUUCGGCUAAAUACGUGCCAGCAGCCGCGGUAAUACGUAUGGAGCGAGCGUUGUCCGGAAUUAUUGGGCGUAAAGGGUGCGCAGGCGGCUUUACAAGUUGGAUGUGAAAUAUUGUGGCUCAACCACAAACGUGCAUCCAAAACUGCAAAGCUUGAGUUAAGGAGAGGUAAGUGGAAUUCCUGGUGUAGCGGUGGAAUGCGUAGAUAUCAGGAGGAAUACCGGUGGCGAAGGCGACUUACUGGACUUAAACUGACGCUCAGGCACGAAAGCGUGGGGAGCAAACAGG
RNAcentral lists this ribosomal RNA (404 nucleotides) under Fusobacteriota bacterium. RNAcentral describes it as "Fusobacteria bacterium partial 16S ribosomal RNA". It matches the Rfam family "Bacterial small subunit ribosomal RNA", at positions 355 to 776 of the family's 1533-position model. The record is from RNAcentral. Lineage: Bacteria; Fusobacteriati; Fusobacteriota.